This 382-nucleotide ribosomal RNA is filed under the name uncultured bacterium. RNAcentral's name for it is "bacterial SSU rRNA". It matches the Rfam family "Bacterial small subunit ribosomal RNA", at positions 355 to 754 of the family's 1533-position model. The record is from RNAcentral.
UCGGGAAUUUUGGGCAAUGGGCGAAAGCCUGACCCAGCAACGCCGCGUGAGGGAUGAGGUAUUUCGGUAUGUAAACCUCGAAAGAAUGGGAAGAAUAAAUGACGGUACCAUUUAUAAGCUCCGGCUAACUACGUGCCAGCAGCCGCGGUAAUACGUAGGGAGCAAGCGUUGUUCGGGUUUACUGGGCGUAAAGGGCGCGUAGGCGGCGCGGUAAGUCACUUGUGAAAUCUCUGAGCUUAACUCAGAACGGCCAAGUGAUACUGCUGGGCUAGAGUGCGGAAGAGGCGACCGGAAUUCAUGGUGUAGCGGUGAAAUGCGUAGAUAUCAAGAGGAACACCUGAGGCGAAGGCGGGUUGCUGGGCCGACACUGACGCUGAUGCGC